This 244-nucleotide ribosomal RNA is filed under the name uncultured bacterium. Its description in RNAcentral is "partial 16S ribosomal RNA". It matches the Rfam family "Bacterial small subunit ribosomal RNA", at positions 1247 to 1500 of the family's 1533-position model. The record is from RNAcentral.
CCGCUACCACGCAAGUGGAUGCCAAUCCCAAAACCUCUCUCAGUUCGGAUUGAAGUCUGCAACCCGACUUCAUGAAGCUGGAUUCGCUAGUAAUCGCGCAUCAGCCACGGCGCGGUGAAUACGUUCCCGGGCCUUGUACACACCGCCCGUCAAGCCAUGGGAGCCGGGGGUACCUGAAGUGCGUAACCGCAAGGAGCGCCCUAGGGUAAAACUGGUGACUGGGGCUAAGUCGUAACAAGGUAGC